UUUUUUCGAUGCAUUUUUUAUAGGAAAUAAAACAUUCAAGAGUAAAACCUUUAAUACAUCUGUUCUGAGUACAAUCAAAUAAGAAAGCGUUUCUAAUAGCAGUAGCUAAGGACUUAAUCUAAAUAUGAAUAUCAUGAAUAGAAUAUCUUGAGUUUAUAAUAGCGUUAGCAAAAAAAUUCAACUAUCGAUAGACAUUCACCCAAGAUAUUACUUAUUACAUAUAUCACAACCCAACUGCAAAAAGAAAAUAAACUCCUCAUUCAUAUUGAUACCUCCAGUUAUAAUUUUGUAUAUUACAAUUGUCUUGAAAAGCAAGCAAGCAUGUGUAGCAGCUACCACAUUCCUCAGCUUAAUGGCACGCAAUUAAUUAUGUCCUUGUGAAAUAUCCUUAAGAAAAGCAUCAAGGUUUCUAUCAGAUGAGCCACCAUUGACUAUUGCACCUCGACAAAUCUCUUGAAGUUGUUUAGCUCUUUCCCUCAAAUCCUUCCCCUCCUCGCUUUCCACAUCCAUAAACUUCUUCACAAGUUCUGCAAUUUCCUCGCUACUCACAACAAGUUCGACCCCCACCUUCUUCUUCACCCGGUAUCCAAUCCUCCAAUCUUCCACAAUCUGCUUACCGUUAGGAAUUUGAUCCCAAAGUAUAGGGAAAGUAAGAAUUGGAAGACCAGCAUAAACAGCUUCCAAAGUUGAAUUCCAGCCACAAUGUGACCAAAACCCGCCAAUCGAAUCGUGACACAAAACCCUCAAUUGGUCACACCAAGGCACCACCAAACCCAAAUCACCAACACAAUCUCUCAACUCACAAGUAUCUCCACGAGCCACCCAAAAAACCCUAACACCACUACUUUUCACCCCAGCAACAAUUUCAUCCAUUUGGGAUUUCGAAACUGAGGAAACUUCCCAUGGAGAUGUACAAAACAGACUUUUUGGGUUGAGAAUCUAGCCAAUGCAGAUAAUCGAUGUCGUUUUGAUUAGUGGUAAGUGUUUUUGAAAGUUCAAAGUGAGGUAUGCUUGGGCCAAUAGGGUAGAUAGCGAAAGCAAACUUGGCUUUGAUGGCUUCAAAGGCUUGCGGAUCAAGCUCAUAGACUGAACUAAACAAAAGAUACUGUGCUUCUACUACCUGAGAAACUGCUUCAAGGGGCUUCUGGAGGGCUUUUGGAUCGUCUACAAAAAACUUUGCGGGUAGAUCUGCAAUGCAUGUGGCGCUGACUCCAGGAAUGUAUUCUAUUAUCUCAUCUCCAUGCUCUGUAAUUUUCACAUCACAUUGAAUAUAAAAUUUUACGUUGUACAACAUUAUUAUAUUGUAUAUCAAGCAAGAAAAAUUGCUUCUUCUUUAACAAAAACAUAAAAUUGCACCAAGAAUACUCGUUAUAAAUUUAUGAGAGACUUUUUAGUGUGCCAGGAACACGGUCCGGUACAUAAAAUGUAUUAGAAGUUCGUAUUUUUUUUUCAGGUCUCCAAACAGAUAUUAUGACGUUUGGUGUACCUGGCCGUGUUUCCAAUACACAAAAAUUCUCCUUGGGUAGAUCCUAAAAGAGCAUACAUAUUAUAAAUGAUAUCAUGCUAUGUUACAGUUGAAAAUUACUAAAUUAACCAAUACAAAUUUUUCAUAAGAAUGUGUAAAGCUCGCAAAUGCAUCAGCUUCUUUAUAAAUUAGAGAAAGGCUUUAUGCAAUUAUUUCUGGUUACCAAUUUUAUGUUGUGCACUUAUUAGACAACAAGUGUCUUAAGAAGUAUAUGAAUAAAUAUAUUAUAGUGUCUGAGGCUAAAGAAGAAUCUAAUGUGUAUUAUACCAUAUUGUAGAGACAAAUUAAAGACCAAGGCAUAUUAAAUUGAUAAGGUCAUGGUAAAAUUCAUUAUAAAUUUAGCUGAACUGGUGUCAUGGUUCAAUUACUAUACUAUUAAUAUUAAUGUUAGAAAUCUCUAUAAACAUUAAGUUUAAUAUUUUUCGGCUGCAGUGUUAUCAAGGGCGAAUAAAAGCCCUGACCAACAAACUUAUUCGUGUUUGACUAUGUUGCGUAACUCCGAGUAUAGUUUACUCUGGAAAGAUUGGCGAGUUAAAGUUAUAUUACACGAAAAAGAAGCAAAGGAAGAAAAGUUUUAAGUAUUUUACUCUAACGUGAUUAAAGACUUGAGUGAAAUAAACUUAGAAAAGCAUCUCCUAAGGCAUCUAAGUCAUUCUAGAGGUAAGUGGCGCAUUUUGCCCUACAUCCAGCUUUUCAACUAAGAAUUCAGAAGUUUGACUAGAGGUCUAAAAUAUGGUUCAGAACUCAGGAAUAUCAAAUUUUUUAGAGACAAACAAGUAGGACUAGCUGGACUUGGUUAGCUCCAGAUCAACAAGCAAUUCAAAGUCAUUUCAAUUCACAUUCUAGAAAGGUCAUUUUGGAAGGAUUCGCUCAUGGUCCAUUGUGCUAUCCAUACUCAAGCGGAGCACAUUUUGGAAGCAUAGUUAGGGUAUUUGUGGGACCAUUAUUUUCUACAUUUUUGACACGUGGCACUCAGGAUGGUUAGACUGAACGAAAAUCUCUCAAAGUAAGAUGGAAGCUACAUGGGUAUUCCAAGUCAAACCACCACAUGCUAUGGCAGUGUGGGACGACUCCAUUAGCUCUAAGGCCAUUGAAGAUAUUACUUGUCUGGCAAGUAAAGAAAACCCUAAUUCGUGUAAAAUUAGGAUAUCUAUAGAUUAGACAAUGUAAUCAUAAUCUUGGAAGAAUUGGGUAUCUUACCCUAGAUUCCCUCAUAGAUAGUCUCUUGAUUUAAUGGGAAUUACUCUCAAGGUCUCUAUAAAAUACUAUAGCCUUGGUAUUUAUCAAGGGACUUCUCUCUGACUGUUUCUAUUUCUCUCAUACACACCGUUCGUCUACGUAGGCAUGGAUAAGCAUCUCCUAUACACGUUGUGCCAUAGAUUAUUCGUCAAUGAUAUAUUCAAUGUAUAGCACAUCAUACAUACUCUUUUCUAGAACACCCAUUGUUUGAUUCUCAUUCUUGAAGAUAUGUACAUAGUCCAAUAUGGAUUAACCCCCCCCACACCCCCCCCCCCCCCCCAAAAAAAAAUUCAGUUCAUUCAACCGUUGUUGUUAUUCAUGGGCAACUUGUUGUACCAGGUUGCAUUCCCGUAUACAGAAAAUAGUUACAAGAAUGAGAUGAGAGUCCAGAUGCUUGAUGAACACAAAAUAAGAAGAGCAAUUUUUACAGUGCUUUAAAUUUUGGCCCUUACAAUUCAUGAUUCCUAGAUAAAAAUACAUCUACAUAUAAACGUCCAAUAAAAAACCCAAAUUUAAAAUCUGCAGCCAUAUCGGAACACUAUUGACCUACUAAUACAAUUUAUUUACACUCAUGCCACUUUCUCAAAUCCCUAAAUUUAUUCCAAAUUAAAAGUUGUAGAAAAAAGUGAAAUAAAAUAUAUAUACUGUUGUAUUGCACUAAUUGUAUCCAUAUGAUACCAAAAGUUUACCUUUUUUGUGAUAUAUAUAUUUUGCAUUAAUUGGGAAGUAAAUUAAUUUGCUCCAAUUACUAAAAAAAAGUAUACUAAAUUUGUAUUAUAUAUUUUGAAUCAAAUAACACUUCUCUAACUUGUGCAUAAAUUAUUUUUCAUGUAUUGUUACAUAUAUUAGGCACGUUUUAUUGUUGUAUAAAUAUAGGUAUAGAAGAGAAUGCUUUGAAUAAUAAUAUAUUCUUCUCAAUAAGAGGAACUUAUAGGGGUACAACCCUAACAUAAAAGGAAAGAAAACUAAUUACAAGUUAUUACAUGGGAUUACAUAUCAAUUAGGGAUCCUACCUAAAAUACAAAAGUCAACACUCUCCCUCAAGUUGGUGCAUAUAUGUCGCUCAUGCCCAACCUGUGUAAGAAACUUGAAAACUUGUGACUCGAAACAGCUUUUGUGAGGAUAUCUGCCAACUGAUCUUCUGUUCUUAUCGCCGGUACUUCAAUUAUUUUCCUUUCCAAUUUUUCUUUGAUGAAGAACCGAUCAACUUCAACAUGCUUUGUUCUAUCAUGUUGUACCGGAUUAUGUGCAAUGUCACGAGCAACUUUAUUAUCACAAAAUAAUUUCAUGGGCUGAUCAUGUUGUAUACCCAAAUCGCUUAACAGAAGCUUAAGCCACAAAAUUUCACAAAUCCCCAAAGCCAUACCUUUGUAUUCUGCUUCUGCACUGGAACGGGCAACCACAUUCUGUUUCUUAUUUCUCCAUGUAACCAAGUUACCCCCAACAAACGUAAAGUAACCUGAUGUUGAGCGUCUAUCAUCAAUGGAACCUGCCCAGUCUGCAUCAGUAUAACCUUCAACACUAAAGUGAUUAUUCCUCUUAAACAAAAUUCCUUUGCCCGGACUUCCCUUCAAAUAUCGCAAUAUUCUCAUCACGGCAUUCAUAUGUUGUUCUCCAGGAUCAUGCAUGUAUUGACUCACUACACUCAAGGCAUAAGCAAGGUCCGGUCUUGUGUGUGCCAAAUACAUCAAACGGCCUACUAACCUUUGGUAUCUUCCUUUGUCAACUGGUACUUGAUUAGGAUAAACACUAAGCUUCAAUCCUUCUUCUAAUGGUGUAGCUACUGGCUGACAAGCUGACAUGCCAGUUUCGUGCAACAAAUCAAUAAUAUACUUCCUCUGAGACAAGAAAAUUCCAGAACUGUUUUCUCGACACCUCAAUCCCUAAAAAAUAUUUUUCAGGGAUCCAAGGUCCUUCAUUUCAAAUUCUGUAGACAGGUAUCUUUGCAAGGCCCCACGUUCUUCCGGAUCAUUACCUGUUACCACCAUAUCGUCUACAUACACAAUAAGUGCAGUAAGCUUCCCAUUCUGUCUUUUCAGGAACAAAGUAUGAUCAGAGUUACUUUGUAUGUAACCGAAUGCUCUCAUAGAUUUUGUGAAUCUUCCGAACCAUGCUCGAGGAGACUGCUUCAAGCCAUACAAGGAUUUCUUCAACCUGCACACUUUUCUUUUGUAUUUAUCUGAAGCAUUACAUCCCGGUGGAAGAUCCAUAUAAAUCUCUUCUGUCAAGUCUCCAUGCAAGAAGGCGUUCUUCACAUCGAACUGUUGUAAAUGCCAAUUAAGAUUUGCAGCCAAUGACAACAAACACGAACUGUGUUGAUCUUGGCUACAGGUGAAAAUGUAUAUGUGUAGUCGAUUCCAUAUUUUUGAGUGUAUCCUUUUGCUACCAGUCUUGCCUUGAAACGAUCCACCGUCCCAUCUGCUUUGUAUUUCACAGUAUAGACCCAUUUGCAUCCCACAGGUUUCUUACCUGCUGGCAAAUCUGUGAUUUCCCAGGUAGCAUUCUUCUUCAAAGACUUCAACUCUUCAUUCAUUGCUACUUGCCAACGUGGAUCAGUUAAAGCCUCAUGCACACUGUUAGGAAUAGAUACAGUAGAUAAUUGAUGCACAAACGACUUAUUUGAUUCUGACAGGUGACUGGUAGACACAUAAUUACUUAACGAGUAUAACACAUUAGACUCAGGGUUGGGCUUACUCACUGGAUACCUAGUUUUGCAUUUAGGGUCGGCUUCAUGAGUAAGUUUAGGAAUACCUCGGUUGACGCGAUCAGGGAGACGACGUGGUGGUGGUGCAUCCGGGAUCGAAGACGAUUGAUUAUGGUUAUUGGGACUCAAGAUCGACUGUGAGGUAGCUGGCGACACAGGGCUGUCCGGUGGUGAGGAAACUGGCAGUGAGCUAUCAGGCAGUGAGUUAUCUGGCGAUGUCGACUCGUCCCUUUCAAGGUUUUCAACAUUGUUUCCAUGUGAAUGAUCACCACUUGUCUCCAAGACAUUACCACUUAAUUCCAAUUCAUUCACAUCAUUAUUUUCGUGUGAAUGAUCACCACUUAUUUCCAAGACAUCACCACUUAAAUCCAAAUCAUUCACUCUAUCUAUAUCUGAAAUAGUAUAAUCAAGAGUUUGAACUUUUUUCUGAUUCUCCCCCUGAAGUGAAAACUCGGGAUUGGCAAAGUACAUAUCAUUCUCAUGAAACGCAACAUCCAUAGUGACAAACAACUUAUUCGUCGGUGGGUGAUAACAACGGUAUCCUUUCUGCCUUGAUGCAUACCCCACAAACACAUAUCGUAAGGCUCGAGGUUCAAGCUUACUUCGUUGUUGUUUCUGAAGAUGAACGAAUGCCACACAACCAAACACAUGAGGUGGAAGAUUAGGGACUACAGGAGCAUCAACAUGUGAAGAAAGUGCCUGAAGGGGUGUCUGAAAAUCAACCGAUCGGGAUGGAACACGAUUAAUAAGAUACGCAGCUGAGGUGAGAGCUUCUCCCCAAUAGGAUAACGGGAGACGAGCCUCGAGUAAGGAAGCACGAACAACCUCCAGAAGCUGACGGUUCUUGCGUUCGGCAACCCCAUUUUGUUGUGGAGUAUAUGGACAUGUAGUUUGAUGAACAAUCCCAUAAUGAUCAAGAAAGGCACGAAGUUCAGAGUUUAACAUAUUCGCCACCAUUAUCACUCCUGAGAAACCUGUAUUUGUGACUUAUAUUGUACUUGUACCAUUUUUUGUAAAACUAUUGAAACAAAGAAGUAACUUCACCUUUGGAUUUCAUCAAACAAAACCCAAGUCAUACGUGUGCAGUCAUCAAUAAAAGUAAACGAACCAAUGAGCACCACUAAAUGUAGCAGUUUUAGAUGGACCCCAAACAUCAGAACGAAUUAACAUAAAUGGAACAGAACUUUUAUUCAAACUGGAUGGAAACGAAGCACGAUGACUUUUAGCUAGUUCACAAACACCACAUUUAAAGCUAGAAACAUCAUGCUUACCAAAGAGGCUAGGAAACAACCUCCGUAGAUAGCCGAAAGAAGCAUGUCCAAGUCGACGAUGCCACAACCAAACCUCCGAAGCUUUAUUCCUAUCCCCCGGAUUUCCUUCCACUGCAAGAGCUUGAGUCAACAUUCGAGAACUGUUUGAUGUCAGCUCCAAGUAGUAGAGCUUCCCUUUCCUAAUACCAUAACCAAUCGUCUUGCAAGUCCGAAUAUCCUUAAAAACACAAAAAGAAGGCCAAAAAAUCACAAGGCAAUGCAGGACGACAGUUAUUUGAGCAACAGAUAAUAAAUUAUAGUCAAGAGAAGGCACAACAAGUAUGGUAUCAAGACUAAGGGUAUCUGAAAGGGAGACGGUUCCUUCCCCGAUAACAGGGGCAGGAUUACCAUUGGCGACACUGACGACAGUUUUGGUGGAUGGUUUUAGGGUUUCUACCUGUCUAGAAUCACAAGUCAUAUGUUCAGUAGCACCAGAAUCAAUUAUCCAUGUAUUAUUCGUAACAGAGGUAGAAACCUUUAAAGCCUUACCAUUGUUACCUGUAUUAGCAGAAUCACAAGUCCAGACUGCCAUUCCCAAGCAACUUCAAUCAAUACGUCACUCGGUGAUUGAUAAAGCCCAAAUUUCCAAGCAAACCAAGCCCAAGAAGCUUCAAUUUUUCACGGCUUCAGAUCAAAUCAGAAGCAAAUAGGCCAAUUGGUCUGUCGUGUCACACAACAGAGAGUCAAACGAUUCGAUGAAUUCGAAUCAGCAACGACGGCGUCGCUCGCUGUUCGUUUCGAAUUCAGAGAGGGUAGCAACGACAACAGUCGCUCGCUGAUCGAGGUCGACGCACCACACACGGCUGAGCCGCAACAGUGCUAUCACAGCUAUGGGGUAAUUUUUUUCUUUUUUUUUCCGACCUGGCUCUGAUGCCAAGAAGAGAAUGCUUUGAAUAAUAAUAUAUUCUUCUCAAUAAGAGGAACUUAUAGGUGUACAACCCUAACAUAAAAGGAAAGAAAACUAAUUACAAGUGAUUACAUGGGAUUACAUAUCAAUUAGGGAUCCUACCUAAAAUACAAAAGUCAACAGGUAUGACAUAAUAUUUUUCAAUAUAAUACAUCAAAUUAUAUUUCUUCUUGUUAUGGGUAAAUUAUUCUCCAUGUAUUAGUGAAAAAAAAAGAUAUUAUAUUACACACGGGGUAUAAUUUUUUGUAGGUAAAUUAUUGGAAAUUAAUUUGUAGGUAGGUAAAUUAAUUUGUUCCAAUUAUAUAAAAAUAUAUAUAUACUACACCUAGAUUAUAUAUAUAUAUAUAUAUUUUGAGAAAACCUAGAUUAUAUAUUUUGAAUCAAAUAACAUUUUUGUAUACAUGGUAGGUAAAUUAUUUUUCAUGUAUUAUUACAUAUAUUAGCCUAUUAGGGACGUUUUUUGGUAAAAAUAUAUAAAGUAAUAUGUAUAUGAUUGUUUGUAGGUAAAAGAUAAAAUCAAAAGCAUGAUCCAAUUCCUAAGUUUAUGCAAUAUUUUGUUGUUGGUAUACAAUAUCUUGCAUAAUUGGAAAUGAACAUUUCCAAUAGUAGGUAGGUAAAUUAAUAUGGUCUAAUUAUAUAAACACACACACACACACAUAUAUAUAUAUAUACACACAUUUUGAAUCAAAUAACAUUUUUGUAUAUGGUAGGUAAAUUACUUUUUUUUUUAUGUAUUAUUACAUAUAUUAGGUUUUUUUUUUUUUUUUUGUAAAAAUAUAUAUAUAUGAACUCAUAAUGCCAGAUACAUAGAAUUAAGCCAACAAUUCAAUAUUUGAUAUUAAUAUGCAAUGAAUUUUUUAACAUUAAUGUCUUAUUUUUCUUUUUGCAAAAUUAUUAACUCUCUCCUUACAAUCUGCAUAGAAUUAAUUGUGCACAUCAAAUAUGCAAUAGGGGUAUUUUAGGCAUCUAAAAAUGUAAAAUGUGUAAAGUAAUAUGUAAUUAAUGAAUUCACUUAGGUGGAUCCUAGUCACUGGAAUUUUUUUUUUUUUUGUGUAAAAAAAUUAUGUUGGGUUUUAUAUGAAAAAAUUUGAAUUUGAAGGGUUAAGUCAGAUUUUCAGUUAUUUAUAUUCUAGAUUUUGUAAUCAGUCUUAGUUAUUAUAUCUUUUAUUAAGAAAGUCUUAGUUAUUAUAUCUUUUAUUAAGAAAAUCUGAUUAAAUAUUGAAUUAUAAGACACUAUAAAGUAACUUUAGAACAUACUCCACUAAUGAUCGUGGUAAUUGUACACGCACCUGAGACAUCGAGAGGGGAGUGGCCAUUUUCUUUGAACAGCUCAAAGUGAUGCAACAAUGAGAACAUCGUCGGCGACUGGGUCCAAAGCGAAGCCACCGGAAUAUUCCUCCUAAUCCCGAUCCUCAAAGCCCAAACAAGGAAGGUAUCAGCAACUAUGGCGGUCACCGGCUGCUCGAGCCCAUCCAUAAGCUGCUCAACCGGAGCUUCCAGCUUGGUCCACACAGCUUCCGCAAACGCGGCAAAGUGGUUCGCGCGACCGUGCUCUGAGGGUAGGACGUUAGGUAUGGUGGCUAAUCGGAUGUUGUCGGGUUUUGGGUCGGACUCGAUCAGCCCGUGCCACUCUUCGGUGACGACGAAGGUGAUGAGCAGUUGAGGGUUUUUUGAAGAUAGUAGCUUGCAGAGGUUCAUCAUGGGGUUGAUGUGGCCUCUUCCAGGAGUGGGCAAAGCCACCACGUGGCAGACUGUGAUUGGCUCAACUUCCCCUGUGCCCAUUUCUCCCUUGUAUGAAGAUUGAAUAUUGAAGCUUUGGAGCUAUUGCCAUCCCUUCUUAUGUAUAAUAUGCAAGUUGACUGAAGGGUCAUGGGGAGCUGCUUGCGUGAAACUCUUUGAAGACAAAAAUACCCUCAUGGUCGCCAUGAGUGUAACAAGUGUGUAAAAAGUAUUUGUGAUUGACGCUUUGUCCAAUUAAUCUUGGAAAGCGAUUCUCCUGAUUCUUUCUUCAUAAUCCACCAAAUUCAAAAAUUCAGGCUGUUGAAAUUUGAUUUUACGGCUACAAACAGGGGCCCAAUUUAAAAGUUAUAUUAACUUUAGUCGUUGAAUCAAAUUUCAACAAUCCGGAUUCCCGAACUUGAUGGAUUAUAAGAAAUGGAUCCGAAGAUGAUCUCUUUCCAUUAAUCUUUUUCAAAAGUAUAUAAAAGGAAUUUUCAAUUGACUCUUUUUAAAUAGUCAUUUUCAAAUUUCUUUCGUAUGUCUUUGUAACGCACAUGUUGUAGAAAAUGCGGAUCGUUUUUCUUGACAAAGUGAGUAGAAAAUUCGAUGUUAGGGCAAGCAUGAGCCAUGCCUUUCAACCCACGUGGGAUCUAGAAGUUGACACCCAAAUGUAAACUUGAAAAGUAUUUUUUUUUUGUUGGAAAUUUGAAAAGUAACAUUAAGAAAACUAAAAAGUAAUGCUAGGCAGAUUAAACUAGCAAACUAAAUGAUGUGUCACUAAUAAAAAUAAAUAAACACGUUAAUCAAUAGUUAAUAAUAAUUCAAUUAUUAACUUUCAUUUUAAUUUAUUAAAUUUAGUCAACAAAUGUAGUCACCAUAACAUUAUCCAAAACUAAAAUGGAUCCACCUCUUCUUCUUAUCCAGCAACCUUAGAUCCCAAUAGGUUGACGGAGAACAACACCACGUACCUCUCCACUGGAAACUCCCACCUCGAUCACUUCGUCAACAUCGUGACGAGAAGCUCCCGCAAGCCUGGGCCUACAAGGUGCGGAGGACCCAACGGGUGGAGUGGAGGAAAAGGAAAAGGAAAAUUAAAUAUUAAAGAGAAAAACCUUUAGUAUAUCCAUUCUCGGUACAAUUAAAUAAGAAAAGCGUUUCUAAGAGCAGUAGAUAAGCAACACCUAUCCCAAAUAUGGAACCGGAUCCUCUCCGGAUCCAAGAGAUCUGAGUACACUAAUUAAUGCAUAUAGGCUAUUGAAAUUAGAUCAAACGACUACAAACAGAGAGUUUAUCUGAAAGUUAUAAUAAUUGUAGUUGUUGGAUCAAAUUUCAAUUGUCUGGAUACAUUGAUUAGUGGGCACAUAUCUUUUUGAAUCCGGAGGGGAUCCAGUUCCCCCAAUUAUGAAUAUCUUGAAUACAAUAUCUUAAGUUUAUAAUAUUUUUUUUAGUACAUAUAACACAACCGAACCCAAAUCACCAACACAAUCUCUCCACUCAGAAGCAUCUCCACGAGCCACCCAAAAAACCCUAACACAACUACUUUUCACCGCAGCAGCAAUUUCAUCCAUUUGGGAUUUCGAAACUGAUCGGAAACUUCCCCUGGAGAUGUACAAAACUGACUUUUUGGGUUGAGAAUCUAGCCAAUGCAGAUAAUCGAUGUCGUUUUGAUUAGUGGGAAGAGUUUUUGAAAGUUCAAAGUGAGGUAUGGAUGGGCCAGUAGGGUAGAUAGGGAAAGCAAACGUGGCCUUGAAGGCUUCAAAGACUUGCGGAUCAAGCUCGUAGACUGAAGUGAACAAAAGAUACUGUGCUUUCUCUACUACUUGAGCAACUGCUUCAAGGGCCUUGGGGACGACAUUUUGAUGGUCUGCAAAAAACGCUGGAGAUAGAUCUGCAAGCUUGUGGUGCUGACUCCAGGAAUGUAUUCUACCAUCUCAUCUCCACGUUCUGCAAUUUUCACAUAACAUUUUACGUCGUGCAACAUUAUUAUAUUGUAUAUUAACCAAGAAAAAAUGUUUUUUCUUUUACAAAACCUUAAAAUUUAAGAUCCUCAAAAUUAUAGAGCAUGCAUAUAAGAAAAGUAUCUGCUAUGUAAGUAUUACAGUUGAGAAUAACUAAAUUAAAUAAUACAAAUUGUUCAUAAGAAUGUCUUAAGCUCGCAAAUACAUCUACUUGUUUAUAAAUUAGAGAAUGGCUGUACGCAAUUUUUUUCAAACUGAUACAAUUAUUUCUGGCAUAUGAAUAAAAUAUUAAGUGUCUUAAGUAUAUGAAUAAAAUAAUAUAAGAAAAUAUAACGAAAAAUCCUUAAAAACUUUAGUUUUAAUUAAAAUGACAAAAUAAAGGUAUAAGUAUGGUACCAUGAGUGAUUUUUCAAGGUAAAAAUAUUAUUAACGUUAAAUGUGAACAAUACCAUAAGUAUUUCAUUAAUAUUUCCUAAAAUAUAAUAUAUUGUCUUAAGCUAAGGAAGAAUCUAAUGUUUUUUUAAAGGGGUAUAAUUGGUGAUGAAUCACAAUUAUUCACCUAUUUAGAUUCAAAGAAAGUAAAAAUUACAUCUUAUUUUUAAUUACGAUCAAAUAAAUUCACAACUUACAAAUUAAAGACCAUGGCAUAUAAAAUUCAUAUGGUCAUGGUCAAUUUUGAGCUUUCAAGUGCAAAAUUGUUAAUAAAGCACAAAUUCAUCUCAGAAGUCUCUAACACCUCCCGAUAAUACAGGCCACGUGCUUUAUCCUUUUGGCAAGUGGCAUGUGACAAAUUACCAACUUGGAAGACAAAAAAGCAUUUAAUAUUUCAGGGUUCGUAAUCAUUCUCAGUUAUACGCAUCAAAAUCUUUCGCGCAACUGUGCUCGAAGGGUAUGACGUUGGGUAUGGUGGCUAAUCGGAUGUUGUCGGGUUUUGGGUCGGAUUCAAUGAACCCGUGCCACUCUUCGGUGAUGACGAAGGUGAUGAGGAGUUGAGGGUUUUUUUGAAGAUAGUAGCUUGCAGAGGUUCAUCAUGGGGUUGAUGUGGCCUCUUCCCAGAUAAGGCAAAGCCACCACGUGGUAGACUGUGAUUGUCUCAACUUUCGCUGUGCCUAUUUCUCCCUUGUUUGAAAACUUUGAAGCUUUGAAGCUAUUGCUAUCCCUUCUCCUAUAUAAUCUAAAUUACAUAUUAAUAGAACUCUCAUUGUUAAUCAAAAAUUUAUAAAAUUACUAAUUUAAUUCUCUAAUUAAAAUUGAACAUGAAUAAGAAAUAUGGGCAGAAAUGUAAUCUUCCACAACCAAAAUUUUGUUUUUUUUAAAGCCUCACAUACAUGUGAUUCUAAUAUAUCUCUAAUAAAAAUUAAAAAUUAAAAUAAUAAAAUAAAAAAUAAAGCUCUCUCUCCUCGCUCACUCUCUUCCUCUCUCCUUCACUUAAAAAAAAACACUCACACACACACACACACACUUUGUGUGCGGCCAUAUACUAGUAUAUAAUAAGGAAAAAUAAUGAAAAAAGCUUCAAAAUUGUGAAUUUUAACUAAAAAUUUUGUAAUAAUUUUAUUUAAUAAUAAGGGAAGAGGUUCCUCUUCAGAUCCUCUUUGUGGGGAUCCGGAGGAUCAAUCAAUCGUGUCUAUUCAUCGUACAUCGUGCGGUUAAAAAUAAUCUUAAAUUUUAAUUUAAAAUUGAAUAUAAAUAGUAUUUAACAAAAACUGAUCGCAUGAUGUACGAUAAACGGAUACGAUUGAUUGAUCCUCGGUUCCCACAAAGAGGAUUUGGAGAGGAUCCUUGUCCGUUAAUAAGGACAAGAUAGAAAAAUAGAAAGAAAAAAAAAACCAAAAUAAAGGUGCGUGUAAGGAACUUCAGGCCAAGAAGACUUCUUCCAAAAUAGUGUCAGAUAAAGGCAUGCCAACUUGUAUUCAGUUUCAGCAAUAGUGUCCUUGUUCUGCUUUAGAAAUUAGUGUAGUACCUAUGUAGUUUCUGAAAUAAUUAGCGUUUAAUUUUCAGAAAUAGUGUUCAGUUUCAGAAAUAAUAUAGUACCGUUCAGUUAUAAAAAUAGUGUAAUACUGUUCAGUUUUAGAAAUAGUGUGUGUGAUGGACGCAAGCGCGUCAUUUUUUUUCUUGUAUUAAUAUAUUGAACUUUUGUUAUUUUCAUUAAAAUUUUAAGUUUUUUUUUUCAUUAAAUAAAUUUAUAAAAUGAUUUUUUUUCUAAAAUAAACUUAGACGAUACCUAUAUAUAUGCAAAUAGACUAGGGAGCUGCUUAUGAAACUCCUUGAAAGACAAAAAUACCCCCAUUGCCUCCGUCAGCAUUACAAAAGCGUAUAAAAAUGAUUCUCCUCAGCAGGUCAUUGAAGUCUUCAACAAUAUAGCCAAUGGCAGACAUAAUAAUGGUAGAAUCCUUUAGUGCUGAGACGAUUUGAAGCAAAUUCGACUAUCAAUAGACAUUUACCCAAGAAAUUUUUAAGUACAUAUAACACAACCAAACUGCAAAAAGAAAAUAAACUCCUCACUCAUAUUGAUACCUCUAGUUAUAAGUUGAAUAUAACAAUUGUAUUGAAACGCAAGCAAUCGUGUCUAAGAGCUACCACAUUCAUCAGCUUAAUGGCAAUUAUAUCCUUGUGAAAUAUCCUUAAUAAAAGCAUCAAGGUUUCUAUCAGAUGAGCCACCAUUAGCAAUUGCACCUCGACAAAUCUCUUGAAGUUGUUUAGCUCUUUCCCUCAAAUCUUUCCCUUCCUCGCUUUCCACAUCCAUAAACUUCUUCACAAUUUCUCCAAUUUCCUCGCUACUCACAAGAA
This 14152-nucleotide long non-coding RNA is filed under the name Malus domestica (apple). RNAcentral describes it as "long non-coding RNA (MDOM_LNC009974)". Lineage: Eukaryota; Viridiplantae; Streptophyta; Magnoliopsida; Rosales; Rosaceae. The record is from RNAcentral.